Long non-coding RNA from Callithrix jacchus (white-tufted-ear marmoset), 1680 nucleotides. Lineage: Eukaryota; Metazoa; Chordata; Mammalia; Primates; Cebidae. The record is from Ensembl.
CUUCAACUGCUAAGUCCCUUGGGAAGGAACUGGAGCAGUGGAAAUUUUAUAUCCAACUCUUCUAAUUGGAGCUAUAGGAUAUAUGGGCCAUGAAGCCAGCAGUGUAGGUGCCAUGGCUUUAGCCUUUGACAUCCUCUCACUAAAACAGAAGGAAAAAUUUGCGUUGCUAGGAUACCCUCGCAUUCUAGACUCUGCAAUGCCUUGAGCCUUUGACUCUUGACUUUUAUGUCUUUUUUCAUCUGUCAAGGCUCUCAGAUGAAAGGAGAGUAUCAGGAAGCCAUGUACUGGCAUCACACUUUGCAAGAUACAGAUUGACUUCUCUUAUUUCUUCUCUCAUUUAAGCAUUCUCCUUUCCUUUCUUCUAAUUGGUUCCAGAAGUUCUUGAUACAAAUGUCAUGUUGGGUGAACAGUGGCAAAUGUAUGCUAACUCAAGUGCCAGUCCCGACCCAUUGUGGCAACUGCCUAGAAAACUAUGUGAAGAAGCAUUCUAAGCUAAGGUAAAGGGCACAUCAGAGAGUGGGAGAGAAAACUAGUCAACAUCUUUAUUAAAUUUGGUGCCCGAUGCAAGAAAACUUAUCAUAGUUGCCUUAAAUAACAAACGUUCCUGACAAGAGUGUGACCUCAAAGACUGCAGGUUUUAAGAAGAUGCUUGCCAUGUUGUCAACAGUCACCGCUGAGAUAAUGCAGUAGAACGAGUUAUACGAGAACCUGAAGGAACUAUGGAAAGUGAAAGAAUUAUUUUUUCUCAAAAAGCAGAUGUCCUUUCACAACAGGAAGACGUAUUUCCGGAUUGGAUGGGAAAAGUGCAGGUGUACACAAGCAUGAAACUGUCCCUUCUCCCCAGCAGUAUGACAGACGACAAACAAGGACCAUAGUAGAAAAUGUAAGUUUGUAUAUAAACACAGACACACACACACACACAAGCAUAGUUGCUUUUACUAAGUUGACAAAAAAUAUGUAAGACUCGUGGCUAAAUUGCGUUUGUGUAUAAACACACAGACACACACUACAUUUUUAUUUUCUCAAAGAGGAAAUUGACCAUGCUGUCAAGAUAUAAUUUUUGAACUCUUUGUUUUCACUGACAGUAAAAUGCACUAAGAUUUUGCUUAAAGACAUCUCAAUGAACUUUGAAAUCUGUGAAGCUUGGACCACGUUGGUUAAAAUGCUCUUUCAGGAAACAGAAAAAUGUGGCAUAAACAUACUGGUUUAUGUACUUUUCAAUUGUUGAGUAAUUCAGAGAUUUAUGCCCAGUUUGACUUCUGGUCCAAAUGGUAGCAAGAAGUCUCAAGUAAGGUCCAGCCUUGGGUUGCCUUCCUUUUCAUAGUCUUCAUUUUUUCAGCCACAAAGUUACUAGAAGGAAGCAAAAACCCUUACAUACUCAGAGGUUCAAGUCCAUAUGAGAAGUGUAAUUCUUUUCCCAGAAAGCCAAACAUUUAUUAAUUCCACUGGUUUGAUUUGGACGUCAGCCCAUUCCUUACCUUUAAGAAAAAGAACAUUUCCAUCCUAGCUACACAGGAAGCUGAGAUGGGAGGAUUGCUUGAGCCUAGAGGUAGGGGCUGCAGUAAGCCAUGAUUAUGCCACUGCACUUCAGCCUCGGUGACACAAUGAGACCUUGUAUCAAAAAAAAAAAAAAGAAAAAAAAGAAAAAAAGUAAAAGAUAAAAGAAAAUAUCUGAUUGGU